RNAcentral lists this long non-coding RNA (1212 nucleotides) under Ananas comosus (pineapple). RNAcentral's name for it is "long non-coding RNA (ACOM_LNC006723)". The record is from RNAcentral. Lineage: Eukaryota; Viridiplantae; Streptophyta; Magnoliopsida; Poales; Bromeliaceae.
UUUUGUAUAUAUAUAUAUAUAUAUAUAUGAACUAGACUGGAAUGCUAUCAAUAGCACAAAGCUGUUGGUACUAUUAGGUUUUCGGCCCUUGGAUGAAAAAAUGAACGAUUAGAAUGAUAUGGGCUUCCUAGAGUUGAGUGAGUUAUUGGUUGAAUAGUAUAAUCUAACGGAUGAAAAUAAUUAAUGGGUUAAAUCUAAUGGCGGAAAACUCGGUAGCAUCAAGUGGUUGGUGCUAUCUAUAGUAUCCCAGCCGGACUCAUAUAUAUAAAACUAGGUUGGAAUACUAUCAAUAGCACCAAGCUAUUUGUGCUAUUAGUUUUUUAACCCUUGAAAUGAGAAAUGUGUGGUUAGGAUAAUGUGGGUCCCAUAGGGCUAAGUGAGUAGUUGGUUGAAUAGUAUAAUCUAACGGGUAAAAAUAAUCAAAGGGUUAAAUCUAACGGUGGAAAACUCGACAGCACCAAAUCCUUGGUACUAUCGAUAGUAUUCCAGCCGGGCUCCAUAUGAGUUGAGCUAGAAUACUUUCAAAAGCACCAAAAGAGUGAUGCUUUUGAGUUUUUAGGCCAUUGGAUGGGGAGAUGUAGAGUUGAGAUGAUGGUGGUAGGUGGUGGUGGGUAGAAUAGUGUUUGAUCUAAGGGGUAUUAGUAAUUAAGGAAUAGAUCCAAGAGUUAGAAACUUAGAAGCACCAAGGGGUUGGUGCUUCUAAAAGUAUUCUACCAAGUUGUUUUUUAUGAUGCGGCUUCCAAAUCGAUGAUCGACUUCAUUAGACUUGAUCUACACUAUUAAAAGUAUUUGAAAACUAAAUUUCAUAAUUUUUCGGCAUCAUUUACCUAUCAAACGAGUAGUCUAAAAAUGAACGGGUGAAAAUAAAAAUCUCAUAAAAAAUGAUGAUAAAAGACUUGAAUUUAAGAUCAGAGAUACUAAUCUUACUCUAAAUAGUGAAAAGAAGUUUCUACAAAAAUUUCAUCAGAUUUGGAUGAUUUUACACGGUUAAAUUCACAAGCGCAUCACAUCCACCAUUAAAAUUGUCAAUUUUGAAACCUUUUGUUCGCUAGGCAAAUGAUGUCGAAAAAUUAUGAAAUUUAGUUUUCAAGUAUUUUUAAUAGUGUAGAUUAAGUCUAACGGAGCUGAUCGUCGAUUUAGAAGUCGCAUAAUUGAAAACAAUUUGGUAGCGCGGAGGCCUCCGUACUACUAAUAGUAUACCAGCCUAGCGCG